GGAUCACCAGAAAAGGGUGCACAAUGUAUACCCUAAAUUCUAUGAAAAUUCCAAAAAAAAAAUGGAUAAAUUCGGUGCAAAAUUGAAAGAGUUUUGGAUUUCUAAAACUCUAUCUCAUCGAAUUCGAAAUCCAAACUUAUUCCUUUUUGAUUUGAUCCAAACCACCUUCCAUGUAAGAAAGAAGAGAGAAGACCUUUUGUGAACGUGGGAGAGACCUGGGAGAGGGCUUUUGUCACACAAAAUAAGUGGAGAUUGGCAUUGAAUAAGAGAGAGGGCGUGGGGAAGGCUUAUGUGGCGCA
Molecule: long non-coding RNA, 299 nt
Filed under: Elaeis guineensis (African oil palm)
Lineage: Eukaryota; Viridiplantae; Streptophyta; Magnoliopsida; Arecales; Arecaceae
Description: long non-coding RNA (EGUI_LNC076569)
Source: RNAcentral